Molecule: unclassified non-coding RNA, 8325 nt
Filed under: Leishmania donovani
Lineage: Eukaryota; Euglenozoa; Kinetoplastea; Trypanosomatida; Trypanosomatidae
Description: gene:LdHU3.19.1570(CDS-product:hypothetical_prote in_conserved)
Source: RNAcentral
AGGCCGCAGAACCGCUGAGCAAUCCUGCUAGAGCCCACACGCACACGUACACAAGUACUGGCACAGAGCCUACCCAGAGCGCUAGGCUCACGGUGUGUUGGCCAUCACCACCGCAACCGUGCACCUCUCUUUCUGUCUCUCGCGUUGCGCUUCUCUCAUGCGCCCUCCCUUACCCCCCUCCCUUACCCCCCUCCCACACACACACACGAAAAAAAAAAGCGAAGGCCCCACGCGGAGGAUCGCCUGCCCACACGCACUCACGAAAGCCCUAUAGACGCACACCACCCAUAUCUUCAAUCCUUAUUGGUUUGCUCACCCUUGAACCGUCACCACUGUAGAAGACACAUAGACAUAACACAUACACGCACACACGCGCCAUCACGCUCGCAGGCUCAAAAAUCAAGAGAGCACUGGCACAGCGCUUAGUGGUGUAUUCAUUGCUUUCAACACGCACGAAGUGCGACACUUUCCUUUUUUCCUUCGUAUCUGCCACGCACGUCUACAACUCACCGUGCGCUCCCGUGCGUCUCUUUGCCUGUGUGUGUGUGUGUGUGUGUGCGUGUGUGCGAUGGACGCAGUACAGACGGGAGGUGGGCACCUCGUCAGCGGUGCCGCCAGUGCGGGCUUCACGUACGCAGAGUACUGGCAAACGCUGAUGGCCACAGCCGAGCACACGGGGCAGACUCUUCGCGCGGAUGGCUCCCACGAGCCUGCCCCUUCCCUACAAAGACCUACACCGACCCCCCCGCCCCCAUCGCGACGCGUGGCGCCGGGCAGGCAGAGCAGUGCUGCCGCCAACGUCACACCGCGCGCACCGCCUAGUCAUCUGACAGAGGCUGGUACGUACCGUCUCAACCUUGCCCUCACGCCCAGCCCUCACCAAGCGCAGCGAUCACCUCUACUGCAGCAUCAGGAGCCGCUGCGCACGACAACGAUGUCCAAUCAUGUUGGCGAGAGAGAGAGAGGAGAGUGGAUCGCGAGGGCGAUGCGAGCGGGCAAAGAAGCCUCCGCUCCUGCUGGGCAGUCGGUCCGCAAGCCGUCGAGUGCGCGGAAGUCUCCGCCACCUGCGGAGCGCGCUAGGUCACGGGGCCCUCCGUCGUCAGCACUCGACACUGCGGCCGACCCCAGCGUUGAGGACGCCGGUCCAACCAGGGCAACGGAUUCGAUACGUGAGCAACGGGCGCGCGCCACAGUGAUCGGAGGCACUCGUCAGGCGGGGAGCUCCGUCGGCGAUCAGCGAGACUCAUCUGCCCCAUCAGCCGACAAAGACCUUGUGGACUCGCCUCGCCAACACUCCUCCGCAGCAGACAGCACCUCAGCUCAGCACGCCUUCUCGCUCACUGCAGGAACACCACCAGUGGAUGCUGUAUACGCCUAUACGCCGGAUGACCUCGUCGUGAAGGCGGCUCAGUGCUAUGAGGAAUGGCGUCGGUGCGUCAUGGAGGGCAGCAUAGACACCGAAGACGACAAUGAUUCGACACGGGAAUGCUGUUUCAGUGGCGAAGAUAGCUCUAUGGCAGGGAAGGGCGAGCCUGGUGAUGCUGUGCAUCGAAUCAGCCCCCCUGAAAGCCGUGCGCGCGAGGGCGCGGAGUCGCAUGGCGCCGCAGCGCCGAACUACACUCCCAGCGCUCUGUCACGCACGCCCACCAACAACAGGCGUGGUGCACUCAAUCCAGACAGAAGCAAAGUCCGUUCUGAUGGGAAGUCCUUGCUCUCCCCAGCGUGCACGCGAGGAAAACAGACACCCUCUCGCGCCGAGGGCACCCAAAGCCGUAUCCACAGCGCUGAGACAGCAACACAUGGCUUAACGAGCGGGAGACGAGACCGAGAGGGUGACACAGACUCAGCCAUCACGGCGGCAGUGACGUUGGCAUCGCUGUUCACGUGGAUGGAUGCGUCACCGGCCGCGAAGAGCCCAUCUCCGCACGUCGCAUCAGCGGCUUCCACCGUCUUUCGUAGCGUCAGAGCGCUCGAUGAAAAGGUAGCGGAACGGCUCACCGUAGAAGACGAGGUGGAGACAACGGUAGCGAAGCCAGGGGCCCGCUCCAACGGCGCGAUACGGCCAUCACAGCAGCAGCGCCACAAGCACCCUUUGAUUCAGGCGCGUCACUGCUUUCAUCAGCGAGCCGAAAGGAUUCCGAAGAUGGCCGCGAGCACAUCCCGCCCCGAGCCGACACACCGGACAUACAUGAGCAAGGACGUGCGCAGUGUUGAUGAGGCUUCGGGCUCGUUGCAGAGCUCCCCCGUGGCAGAGGCCGACGUGGACGACGCGCAUAACGCGGCGCCGCUCAGCUUUGUUUACCGCCGCCUCUUCGCAGACGAGGUCGAGGACUGUGGCGGCGGUGUCGCUGAUGCCCGUCAUCCCGAGAGAGGUGGCGUCACAAACGCCGAUGGCGCUCUCUCUCUGGACACGCCUUCUUCUGGCAAGGAAGGGCAGGAGCGGUUGCCGGCUGGCGCACUUGAUGUCCUCGCCGAGUGUGAGAGCGAGGUGACGAGGAUGAUGAGCAGCGACGCUGCCCACAACCUAACCACGUUGGCUGAAGCCGAUCAUGUUCGAGAGACCUUGAUUGAGCUCAGCAGCUGCUGCAGCAGCAUCGAAGAUCGCAGCGAUCCCGUUGGUGAAGCAGAACUCAACGAAAACGAGAUCGCGUCACACACGGAAGCCAACCUUCACCAGGGAGCAAGUAAUUCUUCGCACGGCGCACCAUCUCUCAACGGGAGCCGGAGCAACCCGAGCUUGCCGAGCGUUUCCCGCCUCUCCUUGCCGUCUUCGGUACCGCCUGUCGACAAGGGCAAACGUGACGGUCCGGAUCGAGCAGAGAUGACCGAUAGUGAAGCGCAGGUGCCCCCAGCUGUCGCCGCGAGACCCUUGCUGUGCCGUGAUCACCCCCUGUGGUGUAAGCAUCACGCCUCCGUGUCGAUGCUGUACGCGUCGCGGCUGCUGCCCAGUGAGCAGGCCAAUGAUGAGCUGCAGCUCUUUCUUUGCUGGGCGCAAGAGAAGGCCGAACGGCAAAGUCGAUGGAGGCAGCAUCAUCACAACAGCGACACCGGCGGAUCUUCGGAGACGGUGCUCGUGAGGAGCGAGCUUGGGGCAGGUCCGCAUGUGUCUUGCGCGGCCGCCGAGGUGUACAAGGGAGCCUACGCCAUGGCACGACGUGGCAAGUGGGUUGGUGCGCCUCUGUCGCGGGUGCAGCGAGAUAGUGUCAGCGGCAACAGCGAGCGAGACGCAGCUGUAGGUGCGUUGCCGGUAGGAUUCGCCUCCGCACAGGCCACGUCUCCAUCCCGCCAGCAGGCGCCACCCUUACCUCACCCAGUAGUGUUUGUGGCCGCACCCGUGCAACGCAGCGAAGCGGCGCGGCCGUCGACACCAUCCGAAGAUGUCGAUUGGACGGUCACGCCGUCCGCCGCGCCGUCGCGCUUUGUCGAGUGGAUCGCGACGGAGGUGGACCCCUACGAGAGCCUCCUCUUCUCCCCUCUGUGAGCGUGCUUGGUCUGCCUCGCCUUGGCAGCCGUCGGGCGUGCAACGGAAAUCACACGCAAGCACGCAAAGGAUGACAAGCUGCAAGGAUCGGAGGACGAUGCGCGACGCAAGCCGGUGCGGUGUGCCUGGGCCCUUGUCGCCGUGAUAUUCUCUCAUACCUUUUUCGUUUCUUUUUCGAUCGUAUGGUCCUUCCGUCGCGUCGGACCUUGCUGCCGGUGGAGCUCACAACGCCAUUACAGACAGGUACACGCGCGCAUGCGCACACAUGAUUCGGCACGUUGGCAUGCAAACCUCCCUCCUGAAGUUGUGCGCGGUCCUCAGACAUGCAAGCGCUGACGAAGGUGGAGAGAAAGAAGGUCACGAAGGCAGCAGCAGCAGCAGCACCGGCUGAACACCCGCGCAACAGCCGUCCUUGUCCGCAUUUUGAUUGCCUCUACGCUCGUCACGCCAUUCCUGUGUGGAAGACGGAUAGCUGGCAGGGUAGAUGCGGGCGAGGCGGCCAUAUGCAGGGUCGCUCCUCUGCUGUCGUGCCUGAAUUGCAUUCGCGUUCGCCACCGCCAAUGCCGACCUCUCACCCUCGAACGAAAACGAAACACCUUCGCAAUCGCUCUCUCUCCUGCAUGCUGCACCACCCAUACUGCUCUUGAGAAGACAUAACAGCAGGUUCCGUCGCUCUUUACAGUACCAGCUGAGCGAUGCUUUCGGCGUGCGUGUGCGUGUGCGAGCGUUAUCGGCUUCAAAACGCACAGACACGCGUGCGCAACGAGAUCGAAAGACGCAUCAAGAGACCAAUAAUGGAAAGAAUCAGAGGCGUCCUGGAAAAGAGAGAAACACGCGCUCCGCUCGCUGUGGGGCGAAGGGGAGAGGGAUAUCAUCAUUACAAUCCUUUCAGUGCGUCAGUCUCUGAGUGGAUAGGGAAAGCGCGACAUUUACGCGAGCCUGCAUGCAUACACGCAUGCUCGCCUUGCAUGCUUGAUUAAUCUCUGUUUGUGUGUUUCGAGGUGUAUGUACUCGCAGGCCAUUGAUUACUUAAUGGUGUGUGCGCACCUCGCCUCCCUUUUUCGUGGCUAUCGUUGCUCGCUGCGCCGCUUCACCGGCAUCGACAUCGCCAUGCCGUUCGGCGCUUACUACGCCUACCACGGCGCUGCCGUGGACAGAAAAGGUCUCGGUGAGGCGCACUAACUGCUUCAAGGCGUACGUGCUGUGGCGCGGCGGCUGGCCGCCAUCCGCGACGUUGCAAAGGUGCUGUGGCUGUGAGCAGAGGAGCGCGUGUGGACGGACCUGAUAUCGGGGCUGAACGUAUUCUCGAUCUGCGCGCCGCGCGUGGUAGCCUUCGCGGCGAACCGCUACAAGGCGACCUGUGCGAGCGACACCGGCAACACCGAAGCGAGGGGCCGCCUUUUCUCCAAGUACCGCUCACAGUGCCCGCGCGACGUCGCUGUCUACACGCUGCUGGGCUACACCGCCCAUCUGCUGCAGCUGCCGCCGCCGCUUGCUGAACCGCUGCGCACGCACAAUGUCUUCGUCUCUUACUUGGUGAGGCGCACACUAGCAGCGCCUCAGCGCCUUCCUCGGGUCCGACUGGAUCCUCGCCGACCUCGCGCCGUACCAGAUCCUCAGCAUAGCCCUCUACACGCACAUGAUUCAUCUGCCCCUCGAGCUCAGCACCAUCUGGAAUCUCUCGCGCGGGAUGGCGCUGCUCAACGGCGUCGAUACACCGGAAGACAUGCCCGCGUUUCUAAGCCGAUGUGGUCCGCGAAGGCAGAAGGAAAGCGCACGAAAUGCUCGCAAAGGGCAAAGCCUCUUCAGCCUAGCCACUCAUGUCGUGCGGCGCUGCGUUCGUUGCGUCAAGGACAGGGUGCAGGCCACGGGCAACCCCCUUUGACCUGUGCGUGCUACCGCUCGGUACAAGCACCGGAUUGUCCGAUAUCGUGUCUUGCGGAGACUAGGCGACCACCGGCAAGCUGGUCGAGAGGUUCACGGUGCCCCGCUACUCACCUGCAACGGAGUUGGCGUAUCUGAAGAGUCGUCUGUGCGGUGCGUCGAUAACGAAGGAUGGCGUGCUCGAAGACCGCUCCAGCGAUAACGCCUUUCAGGGUUUCUUCCGCACCUGCGCAAACAAGUUUAUGUUUGUGAAGGCGGCUCCUCCUUGGAGGGAGGCGACAACGCCAACGGUGAACAACACGUCGAGGCCGCGGAUAUGGCGAAUACCGAAGCUGUAAUCAUGGAGUUCCCGCGGCGGGGAACGAUUUGCGCAAAGAACCUGCCAGGCCGAGGUCGAGGCAACGCCCGGCGCGGCCGAGACGGCAACCGUCGACGUGACAACCAGACGCCUCGGUACCGCGACGGAAGUGAUGCGACCGCUGAAUCCUCCAAGGAUGGGGCCACCGAUCUUGCAUUGGAAAAGAACGGGUGAGAGCCCCUGCGAGCGAGGAGGUGGAGGCGCAGCCGCCGAAUGCCCUUCGGUGGAGCCCGUGCUGAAAGGUGGACGCUGCUGCACGGCUUGCGGUCGCGCUCCGCUUUGGCUGUGUUGGAAAUGGAGCACCGCGCACCACUGCGGAUGCCCAUCUCUUCCCUGCUGCUCACACGCCACCACGGGAUCGCUGGCGUCAUCGAGGAGGGUGAGCACGGAGGCUCCGGAGCUGCACAUCUUUGACGCAGCACCAGCGUAAGAGGUGCGCAAGCAUCUAAAGAAAACGCUUUCUGCGCAUUGGUCAGGCAUCGCAGCGCCCGUCAGUGGAUGUGCCCGGCAGAAGCGCGACAGUGGCGGCGGAAAACUUUUCUAGGAUCGCCACGGUUUGCGCCGGACAUCUAGGCGCGGACGUGGGGCGCGCCGACUCCACCGCUCGCCGGUCGCGCGUUUUCCUGACGGAUGUGCUUCAGCACUAUCACGUAAACAGCUCUGGAAGCCAGCGCGCGCGCUGCUCGACCGACGCCCCUCGACAGUAGACUGUGGCGACGCAGACGCCGGCUUUUUUUGGGGGGCGGAAGCGCUUCCGAUACGAAAUGUAUUGACGAGCUGCUCCGCAAGGUCACGUAGGCAGGGGGCGCUUGCGCACACGGCACACGGUGAAGCCCGCGAAACCCAGGCUGGGGGGAGGGCGGGAGCCGCGCGUUGGCAAUCUGCAGGCCUGGGGGUGCACGGUGCAAACGUUUUUUCUGUCUCUGAAGUGAAGGGGAGGCGGCGGAGGAUCCCCGGGCCGAAUAUGCACUCUGUCACCGGCAAGGAAGACUUCCCACCAUUGACGAACCCCGAGAAGGCGGGAGCAUGUACACGAGGGCUGCGGAACGCCUAGCACACUAUCCCACCGUCCGUUUUUUUUUGAUGCGUUUGAAGCUGCUAGUCCGCUUCGGUGAAGCGGUUCGUGAUGCACUUGUUCCGCGGUUGACCUCGUAUGGGUGUCUGCGCCUGACAGCACGGCCAACAGGUGCGCGAUGGAGCGCGGCCGUGGGCCCGGGUAUCACACGCAUGAUCGUGGGCAUGCCGACCGCCGCGACAAUCCUCACCGGUAUCACCGGCACGAUGCUUGCCACGAGGGAAGGCUACAAGCAAGUUUUGCUUUCAGCCGUACGCGCAAUCCUCAGAUGUGUUGGACAGACGAACCUGCUGCCAUCCCCCAGACAGAGGAACUAGGGCGCAAAAGGAAUACGGGGCGACUGCAGGUGGCACACGAUGAGCUGAGCUUUCGUGAGGCCAAACAUAUAUAUAUGUAUUUCCGUGGCGGCACGGCCGUGAGCGAUAUUCGCCUCGCACUCACUCCAUUCAGUGGCAAAGCCGGCGUUAGCGAUGCGCGCCGAAGCCUUUACCUGCGGUCUUGUUGCCUUUACGUGUCGCUGGCAAUGAAUGCUCUGUAUGCAGCUAUGAUGCGCCCACCCAACCUUUUUUUUCCCGGUUGUUGCUCGAGAGGGCAUCGUUGUGUCUACCGUCUGGUGGAUCGGGGCAGAGAACGGGUCUCACCGCUUCCGUACCUGGACCCUCACGCGCGAAGCCUGACGAGAGGUCAAGGCUCGCCGGCUCAUGCAGAACCCGUGGUGGCAGAUCUCACCUGAGAUGGACGUUGGUGACGACGGGCGAAACACAUGGCUACAUCAAUGUCACUGACGCCUCGGCUGAGAGCUGGGGUGCCUUAACUCGCUGGCGCACCGGCGACGGUUUCCAGUGCCAGCAAAGGUUGGUGAGCAACCUUGAAGGCGAGCACAGCUCCCUACCGCGAAACGAAACCCUGCACUUCACGGCAAAGUAUUCGGUGCGCGCGGAUCCAGCGGCGGCGUUGAGACCCCUCGACCUGCUUUACCGCUGUUGUCCGGAAGAGGGUCAGAAGUGAGCUGUGAUGGCCGGCCGCAUCACCACUGUGCGUGCGCAACGACGACAGAGCGGUUACGGUGGGAUCGGGCGAGAAGACGUCGUGAACGCCCUGCGAGAGUGCAUGCACUCCCUUGUCCACAAGAAGAAUAUGCAGGUGGCAUUCUUCUACAUGGCAGGCGAAACCAAUCCCGCCGAUGGCCUCCCUCGCGGCAUUGACGCUUACUAACCCUGCACAGAGGAUCGGGCUCCCGUGCAAGCGACUUUGGACUUCCGAGACAGCCAAACACUCAUUGCUCCCCCGUACGGGUAAUCCUCUAGCUGACAAGAGAAACGGAGUGGCUACGGAUGGGGGUACUACCCGAGACUGCACUAGCGGGGUAGUCGUCCAUAAAUCUAUCGAGCAUCUCAAAGAAGCGUGAUGCCCCUCGAUGGGCAACAAACCGGUGCGGCCAUGCGAGACGUCUGCGCACCGCGUUUGUGGCCGAAGUGGCGCGUUCCCCUGAAUUCCCCCAUCCCCGCUGAGCAUCUUUCCACUUUC